GGAGUUAGGAAAUGUAAGUGCGCUAAUAUCGCAUUUAUUUGACGAAGGCUCCAAAGGAAGUCACGGCUAACUCUGUGCCGGCAGCCGCGGUAAUACAGAGGUGGCAAGCGUUGUUCGGAAUUAUUGGGCGUAAAGAGCACGUAGGUGGGUUUGUAAGUCAGAUGUGAAAGCCUUCUGUUCAACGGAAGAAUUGCAUCUGAAACUGCGAGUAUUGGGUGUAGGAGGGGAGAGUGGAACUUCUGGU
Molecule: ribosomal RNA, 244 nt
Filed under: uncultured anaerobic ammonium-oxidizing bacterium
Lineage: Bacteria
Description: partial 16S ribosomal RNA
Rfam family: Bacterial small subunit ribosomal RNA
Source: RNAcentral